CUUAUUCCAUAAACAAUACAGUAUGAGAACUAUUUACAUAAUAUUUGUAUCAUAUUAGGUAUUAUCAAGAAUCCAGAGAUGAUUUAAAUGUGUGGACGGAUGUGCUGAGGUUGCUGAAGUCACCUGCGAAUACUACACCAUAAGCAUCAACAGAUUUUGGCUCCUCAGGGUUCCUGGAACCAAUUGCCUGAUGAUACCAAGGGGUGACCAUACUACGGGAAAGUUCUGUAUAUAUUCUAGUAUGAGAUCUUGUCAGGUUUUGUGAGUAUGUGUGGGUGUUAUAGUUUAGAUCUUGAAUGUUCCCCUGAAGGCACAUGUGUUGAAGACUUGGUCUCCACCCCACAGUGUUACUUGGUGGCAGUGGGACCAUUAGGAGGUAGGGUCUAGUGGAAGGAAGUCAGGUUAUUAUGGGAAUGCUCUUGAAGGGGAUAUUGGAACCCUGGCACCUCCUCUUCUCUUUGUUUCCUAGCUUCCAUGAGGUGAAUAUGCCUCUUCCAUCAUGUGUUUCCACUAUGAUGCACUGUGCAGCCAAUGGCCCAAAGCAACAAGGCCAAAGGACCACAGAUUAAAACCUCAGAAACCAUGAGCCAAAAUAAACCUUUCCUCCUUUUAAGUUGAUUAUUUCAGGUGUUUUAUCACAGUGAUAGAAAACUGACUAACACAGUUUGUAUAUAUAAUGUUUUCUUUCAGGCUGUGGUUUGCCUUUUCACUUUCAUAAUGGGUAUUUUUUAAUACAUUUUUUUUAGUUGUAGGUGGACAUGAUACCUUUAUUUUAUUUAUCUUUAUGUGGUGCUGAGGCUUGAACCCAGGGCCUCACAUAUGCGAGACGAGUGCUCUACUGCUGAGCCACAACCCCAGCCCCAUAAUGAGUAUUUUUUGAUGAGUGAAAAUAUCUAAUUUUGAUGAAAUGCAUUUUUUUUUCUUACAGUUAGUGCCUAUGACAUAUUUUUAAAGAUAUCUACCAGUUUGGGGAUUAGCUCAGUGGUAGAGUGCUUACCUAGCAUGUUUGAGACCCUGGAAUCAAUCCCCAGCACCACACAUACACGUGCAUACACAUACACACACACAAAAUUGCCUUCCCUUUACAUUUAAAUACAUGACCCAUCUUGAAUUUAUUUCUGUAUGUUGUGUAGGUUGGAAUGUGGGACUAGCGAAGUCAAGUUUUUUUUUUCUUUCUUUUCCUUACAGAUAGCUACUUGCUCCAACAUUACUGAAAAAUACAAAACAAAACAAAACAAAAUCUUUUCUUUCAUAUUGAAUUUUUUGGGGGGAUACCAGGGAUUAAGCUCAGGAGCAGUUGACCACUGAGCCACAUCCCCAGCCCUAUUUUGUAUUUUAUUUACAGACAGGGUCUCACUGAAUUGCUUAUCACCUCACUGUUGCUGAGGCUGGCUUUGAACUCGCCAUCCUCCUACCUCAGCCUCCCAAGCCACUGGGAUUACAGACAGGUCCACUGUGCCUGGCUUGUAUUGAAUUUUAUCAAUGCCUUUGUUAAAAAUAAAUUAACUAUAUAAGUGUAGCUCUACUUACUUAGUACUAUUAAGUAUCUUUCCUCUCCCCUGUCAGGGCCUGAUAAGCCAAGAGAAAAAGGGGAAAGAAGGCAAAUUUCAAGGCUCUUGCCAAGGAAACCUAGACCGAGAGUAAGGCAUGUGGAAGGAAAUAGCAUAUAGUUCCUACAUUUGUCCUUCAUGGACACCUGAGAACACAUUGCCAUUGCGGAUAUAGUUCUUCUAUGGGUGAAGGCAUUACAUUCUAGGCUUGUAACCAGGUAUAGAUUUGGGGACUGUUGAAGACAAAGUUGGAAGGCUGUCAGAUUUCUAUCUUCCCCAGUUCCCUUAGGUGUCACCAAGCUCAUCAAUUAACAUUGAUGCUUAGGAAAGAAUCUGCAAAUCUUUCACAACAUGACACAAAUGAAAAAUCCCAUGGAUAUUUAUAUUUUGCCUGAAGUAAAUGCUUUGCCAUGAAGAAAUACGAUGGUGAAAUUUUAUGCAUGAGAUUUGGCUAAAUUCAACGAGGCUUGUGCAGAUGUGCUGAGACUGAGAACAGGAGUAACACAGCUAAAGCAAAGAAGUCUUGGGGCUGUGCCUCGGACAAUGAAUGAGUCCCAGAAGACGAAGGACAAAGGAAUCUGUAGUAUCAAUAAUGCCACUGGUCGGGGGGAACUCUGAAAAUAAGGCAGAGAUACUUCUGGGCACUCAGGGGCCAUUCAAACCUUGGCUCAGUAGUGUGGUCUGUGAACUGAGUUGUGUUUUUGCUCUUUGAGGGCAGAACAAGGAAUCCACUCACCCGGGAUACUCAUCAAGCAACCUGACAAUACUGAAGCUGGCACAGUCAAUUUUCAUGACUAAUAAAAAAUGCCAGGGUGGAGUAAUAAUUAUGCAAGCUACGUUGUUGCUCCUGUUCCUAAGAAGAAAAUUCUCUCUUCCAGACAUUCACAGUGUGUCAUAGGCACCUCCCAGCAUGGUUCUGUGUCAGCUUAAGCUCUAGGAAGAACAGGCCAAACACUUACGUGUGAACAUUGGGCAAAUCCUCUCAAGUCUUCUUGAUAAAUGUUCAUUUAUGAGUUUGGCUUUGACGUGAAUCAAUUAUGUUGCUGGAUGAACUUAAAAGUGCUCUGGUAAUGUGGUCUGGGGACCAUCUACACCAGAAUUACUUGGGAUGCCAGUUCAAUGCAGAUUCCUGAACCCUAUCCCAGGUUUAUUAAAGUAGAAGUACUGUUAAGAGCAGGCCCUAGAAUCUGCAUUUCAAAAAAUCAGAAAGCUCUCUCUUGGUGAUUUUUGUGUGCAUUAAAUUUGGAAGCCCAGUAGCUUCAAAUGUUCGUGUCCCAAGCUUAUAGAGGCAGCCGGGAGGUGAGAAAGUAGAAAUCUGGAAGACCAGUCUAUUGUUAGUGGAAGCCAUUUCUACAAAGAGAAAAUACAUGAAAGAAAUCCAUGGCAAAUGCUGAGGCAGGUGUUGGCAAUAUGAUCUAUUCAAAUUGAGAUAGACACAGGUUGAUUCUGGAUUUUUGUUGUGGUAUAUCCAGCAUAUACUACAAUGGGACCAUUAAUGUGCCAGUCAUUAAACUGUUUGUCCUAGCCCAAUGCCCUGCUCCCAAUCCUAACUGUACCAAGGAUUCUGUACCAAGGUAGAUGAAGCUAUUUAAUCAACAGGGGACAGAUGGUGGCAACAGGACCAUCAUUUUGUCAAUCAAAAGCAAGGUAUCCCCAGAAAUAUGUACAAUUAUUAUAUGUCAAUUAAAAUAAAAUAAACACAUUUUUAAAGGUGCAAGCUGAUAUUUCUCCACAGCUUGUAGAAUGUGUGUGCCAUUUCCAUUUUAACCUUUCUGAUAUUCCUUUUGCCCUGCACUGACCCAACCACCUGAGGAAAAAUAAAGACAGAAUUAAAUUUUAUAACUUCUCUCAUUUUGUAUCCAGUGUUCUCUGGAAACAUUGCAUUUUUUAGA
Molecule: long non-coding RNA, 3442 nt
Organism: Marmota monax (woodchuck)
Lineage: Eukaryota; Metazoa; Chordata; Mammalia; Rodentia; Sciuridae
Exons: 3
Source: RefSeq, a predicted model, not a curated record